UAUAACAAACAUACAAACCAUUGGUACAUUGUAAAGACAUAGGGAAGUGUCAUGACAAUGAACAACAUUCGUAUUACUGCAGUUAUGAUUUUGAUGAUAAUUAUGUUAAUCUUUGUGCAAGCCGAUGUCAAUCCUCCAACUUCAUCUAUCGAGCCAAACAAUUUUUUUGAUAGGGUCAAGUGUUUGGUCAAAUGUGGUAUAGAAUGUGCUACACAUAUAAGUUAUAAUUGUUUUACCACAUGUUCUUCACUUUGUCAUAAAAUGUCUAGUGGUGUUGCCUAUGAUUGUAUUAAAGCUUGUGACUUGACCAACUCCGUUGACAUCAACACUGAUGGUGGCCUUUCUGCAUCUUAUGCAGUGGAUUCUUGCUUGCAAGCAUGUAAGAACAAAUGAUACUACAUUACAAGGAUGAUAAUGGAAAAAGUUCUUAGGAGAAUGUCAUUAGUAUAAAAAAAAACUGAAAUAAAAUAAUUUUAAUGAAUGAGUAAUGUAUUUUUCUUUA
Molecule: long non-coding RNA, 502 nt
Organism: Cajanus cajan (pigeon pea)
Lineage: Eukaryota; Viridiplantae; Streptophyta; Magnoliopsida; Fabales; Fabaceae
Source: RefSeq, a predicted model, not a curated record